GAGAGCACAGUACGAUGAAAGUUGUAAACUGUGUUUGGGGGGGGGGGGGGGGGGGGGGUAAUUAUUGUCCUAUCGUUGGCCUCUAUGGUAGAAUCAGUCGGGGACCUGAGAGGCUGUGGUUUACCCUGC
Molecule: non-coding RNA, 129 nt
Organism: Ipomoea nil (Japanese morning glory)
Lineage: Eukaryota; Viridiplantae; Streptophyta; Magnoliopsida; Solanales; Convolvulaceae
Source: Rfam